This 528-nucleotide ribosomal RNA is filed under the name Meliponula bocandei. RNAcentral's name for it is "partial 16S large subunit ribosomal RNA". The stretch from base 376 to 528 matches the Rfam family "Bacterial large subunit ribosomal RNA", at positions 2473 to 2626 of the family's 2925-position model. Lineage: Eukaryota; Metazoa; Arthropoda; Insecta; Hymenoptera; Apidae. The record is from RNAcentral.
GUCUUAUUGAAAAUAAUUUUAAGUCGAUCUGCCCAAUGAUGGAUAAUUAAAUGGCUGCAGUAUAAUUGACUGUACAAAGGUAGCAUAAUCAAUUGAUUUUUAAAUGAAAUCUGGAAUGAAAGGAUUAAUGAAAUACAUACUGUCUCAAAUAUAUUUUAUGAAUUUAAAAUUUUAAUAAAAAUGUUAAAAUUUUUUUAUGGGACGAUAAGACCCUAUAGAAUUUUAUAUUAAUGUAUUUUUAUCUUUAAAAUAAAAUUUAUGUUAAUAUUUGAUUGGGAGGAUUAUUAAAUUUAAUUAACUUUAAUUUUUGUAAACUUAAAUUAGAGAAAAUAUCUUGAUCUUGAAUUUUAAAUUAAUAGAAUAAAUUACCUUAGGGAUAACAGCGUAAUAUUUUUUUAUAGAUCGUAUAGAAAAAAAUGGUUGCGACCUCGAUGUUGAAUUAAGAUAAAUUUUAAAUGCAGGAGUUUAAUAAUUAAGUCUGUUCGACUUUUAAAAUCUUACAUGAUUUGAGUUCAAAUCGACGUAAGU